AGCAGUCGCCGCGGGAAUACAGAGGGUGCGAGCGUUAAUCGGAUUUACUGGGCGUAAAGCGUGCGUAGGCGGCUUCUUAAGUCGGAUGUGAAAUCCCUGAGCUUAACUUAGGAAUUGCAUUCGAUACUGGGAAGCUAGAGUAUGGGAGAGGAUGGUAGAAUUCCAGGUGUAGCGGUGAAAUGCGUAGAGAUCUGGAGGAAUACCGAUGGCGAAGGCAGCCAUCUGGCCUAAUACUGACGCUGAGGUACGAAAGCAUGGGGAGCAAACAGGAUUAGAGACCCGUGUAGUCCCUGUCUCUUAUAA
This 303-nucleotide ribosomal RNA is filed under the name uncultured bacterium. RNAcentral's name for it is "partial 16S ribosomal RNA". It matches the Rfam family "Bacterial small subunit ribosomal RNA", at positions 507 to 809 of the family's 1533-position model. The record is from RNAcentral.